This 484-nucleotide ribosomal RNA is filed under the name uncultured bacterium. RNAcentral's name for it is "partial 16S ribosomal RNA". It matches the Rfam family "Bacterial small subunit ribosomal RNA", at positions 30 to 507 of the family's 1533-position model. The record is from RNAcentral.
AUUGAACGCUGGCGGCAGGCCUAACACAUGCAAGUCGAGCGGAUGAAGGGAGCUUGCGCCUGGAUUCAGCGGCGGACGGGUGAGUAAUGCCUAGGAAGCUGCCUGGUAGUGGGGGAUAACGUCCGGAAACGGGCGCUAAUACCGCAUACGUCCUGAGGGAGAAAGUGGGGGAUCUUCGGACCUCACGCUAUCAGAUGAGCCUAGGUCGGAUUAGCUAGUUGGUGGGGUAAAGGCCUACCAAGGCGACGAUCCGUAACUGGUCUGAGAGGAUGAUCAGUCACACUGGAACUGAGACACGGUCCAGACUCCUACGGGAGGCAGCAGUGGGGAAUCUUGGACAAUGGGCGAAAGCCUGAUCCAGCCAUGCCGCGUGUGUGAAGAAGGUCUUCGGAUUGUAAAGCACUUUAAGUUGGGAGGAAGGGCAGUAAGUUAAUCCCUUGCUGUUUUGACGUUACCAACAGAAUAAGCACCGGCUAACUUCGUG